GUAUGAUAAUCCCCGCAAACCUGAUGUCAGAAUUUGGGGACUAUGAUGAAACGGAAGGUCUAGGGAAACCAGACAAUUGUCUCUGCCAUUUAUUGCCUUGGAAUUUCCUGACAAACCUUGGCUCUGAGACCAAACAGUCUGUGUAGGUGGCAGUGAGAGGAAGGAGGGCAUUGGUUCUGCUCAAUUAUUUACAUUGAAAAUGUUCAGCCUUUAAAAUUCUGGAUUUUUAAAAAAGAACUUAAGCAAGUGGAAUGUACUGCCAAAAGGUGACUCCUCUGGGAGCAAAAUGAUGGGAAUCUAUACCACCAAAGUGAACUUGGGGACAUCUAGACUGGCUGUCACCAGAAAUGGGAGUCUUGAUACUUCCUGUCGAAUUACCUGGCUGCUUCCAUCAAGGAUAUGAUCUAUGAGAUUGUUAAAAUGAUAUGACAUCAUGCUUAGGGAAUAUGGAAGACUCAUUCAAAACUCCGUGUACAGAACUCUCCCAACAAUGUAUAAAGUCUUGAAUACAUGUCAUGGCAAAACCUUUCUUCAAUAGCCUUCCUCACCACUCUCCUUCUUAAAGCUCAGCAAAAAGAAAGUGCCAGAAGCCUAUUUAGCAUGAGCCCAUGAAAGAUGUUACUUAUCUCAGAACUGAGUUAAAGGAUAUUUGAUCUGUUUCUCUGAGCAGCCUGCCAUUAUCACAUACCCCACAUCAUGAGGAUUUUCUUUCUUCGGAGACUGAUUGAGGAAUGUUCUGGACCGGGGACAAUAGGUACAGAGGAGAGGAAGAGAGGCAUACAGAGAAACUUACAUUCAAGAAAGUAUAUUCAUGAAACCUAUAUUCAUCCAGAAACCUAUAUUCAUGAAACAGGGAGUGGAUGUGAAGCUAUGAGAACAGACAACUUGCCGAAGGGCAAAAGUGCCAAGAGAGAAACAAAGAGGUCUGGAAGCAAACACACAAUAUCUCUGAGGUCAAUUUGUCAUGCAUGGCUUAACAUGGAGCGAAGGAAGUUCUAAGUCAUGAGGCUGAGAUCUGGAGAAGCAGUGAGUGAAGAUCAGAUCUAAUAUGAGAGACAAGGAACAGUCACAGGAUAAACCAAGGAGACACUUUCGUAUCACCUCUGUGUUUACAACUAUGGGUCAAAUGGGAGAGGAAGUUGAGCUAAUGAGAUAACUAACAAGCUUUUAAAAAUAUUUGGAAGAAGCAGUAAGAGGAAUAUGAAACAUCCAUGCUCUGGAAUAGAUUUUAAUGAGAGGAUUAGUAAAAUGCCUCUACCUUCAUCUGAAAAGAGGGUUGAGAGAGGAAGACAGUCUCCUGUAACUUUCUCCACUUUUCUGAAAUAUUGUACACAGUGAGAUUUCAAGGAGAGGCUUCCAAAGAAAAUUGAAGUAUCCUGGAUACAGUGGGAAGAUCUCUGGACUGUAGAGGAUAUGAUAUCAAGAGGCAAACCACACUUUGCAGUUCAGUAGUUUACAAGAGGCAGAGCGGGUCAGAUGUGAAAAAAACACAAUGUAUACGACUUUCAAAAGAGGACAUGACCUGAGCAAAAGAAAUAAAUGAAGACCACAAAUAAAUAUUGAAAAGUGAUAGUGAAAGGAAAGUGUGAUCAAAGGGACUGAAGGAAAACUAAGAUAUCUGGACUAGCAUCAUUAGCAUCAACUGGACACUUAGAAUUGCAGUUUUGGAAUCCACCCCAGAUCUAAUGAAUCAGAAUAUCUGGAGGAGGAGCCCAGGAAUAUGCAUAUUAAAAAACUCUCCAGGACUCAGAAACUACAUCUAGCAAGUGGUAGAUGAGAAGCCUGAGAAAGGAUGAAGAACCCAACCACACCUCUUCUCCCAAAGGUGGCAGCCUGCCUCAACGGAAGUAGGGCAGGCUAAGGGAGGUAGGGCAGGGUCUUAAAUUAAAUUGAGAACUGCCAGUAUUACACGGGAUUGGAUAUGUUCACUGCUGAAUUGAAACUCCAAUUGCAACUUAAAGACCAAAGGCUUUUAUCCAGCGGGUGGAAAAAAAAUGUAACCUCACUGAAUACUUUUAAAGAAUGGGAGACAAUGGAAUGGAAGAGCCCAGAAAUAAACCCACAAUUAUAUGAUCAAUUAAUCUAUGACAAAGGAGGCAAGAAUAUACAAUGGGAAAAAGACAGUCUUUUCAACAAAUGGUGCUGGGAAAAUUGGACA
This is a long non-coding RNA of Canis lupus familiaris (dog), 2158 nucleotides long. RefSeq lists it as uncharacterized. The record is from RefSeq and is a predicted model, not a curated record. NCBI's taxonomy places the organism in Eukaryota, Metazoa, Chordata, Mammalia, Carnivora, Canidae. The transcript is spliced from 13 exons.